AGCAGCAGCAGCAGCAGCAGCAGCAGUAACAGGAUUAAGAAUAAAAUUAAGAAAAAGGACAAUAAAAAAAUCGGUUACCGGGAAGAAUUUAGCGGCAAUGCUCAUCAUAGACGUUACCUGACGAGCGCACUUGUGCGUAAGAGCAAGUUCGCGAUUCUGGUUAUCGACGCUCGAUGAUCUAACUGUCAAAAGCGUCAACAACCCGUUGGCUGUUGUCACCAAAGACUAUAUUCAUCGUCAUCGUUGUCGUCGUCGUCGUCGUCGUCGUAGUCGUCGUCGUCGUAGUCGUCGUCGUCAUCGACCUCAUCACGGCGAACAACCCUCACACACACGCUCCUGCGCGCCAUUUUUUUUGCAGAUCAUCCUUCUACUCUUCUAAUACUUUAUUUUAUUAAGAUAUCAACUUUUUACGUUAGAUCAAGAAACAAUUAUCGUGCAAGUAUCAUCGUCAUAAUUAUCGUCAGCAGCAGCAUCAUCAACAGAAGCAGUAACAUCAGUGAUAACAGCAAGUGUUUUUGAAAGGACAAUAAUUUUUCAUU
This is a long non-coding RNA of Polistes dominula (European paper wasp), 539 nucleotides long. NCBI's taxonomy places the organism in Eukaryota, Metazoa, Arthropoda, Insecta, Hymenoptera, Vespidae. The record is from RefSeq and is a predicted model, not a curated record.